RNAcentral lists this ribosomal RNA (301 nucleotides) under uncultured bacterium. RNAcentral describes it as "partial 16S ribosomal RNA". It matches the Rfam family "Bacterial small subunit ribosomal RNA", at positions 509 to 807 of the family's 1533-position model. The record is from RNAcentral.
CAGCCGCCGCGGUAACACCGAGGGUGCGAGCGUUAAUCGGAUUUACUGGGCGUAAAGCGUGCGUAGGCGGCUUCUUAAGUCGGAUGUGAAAUCCCUGAGCUUAACUUAGGAAUUGCAUUCGAUACUGGGAAGCUAGAGUAUGGGAGAGGAUGGUAGAAUUCCAGGUGUAGCGGUGAAAUGCGUAGAGAUCUGGAGGAAUACCGAUGGCGAAGGCAGCCAUCUGGCCUAAUACUGACGCUGAGGUACGAAAGCAUGGGGAGCAAACAGGAUUAGAUACCCCCGUAGUCCCUGUCUCUUAUAC